This 517-nucleotide ribosomal RNA is filed under the name uncultured beta proteobacterium. RNAcentral's name for it is "bacterial SSU rRNA". It matches the Rfam family "Bacterial small subunit ribosomal RNA", at positions 9 to 521 of the family's 1533-position model. The record is from RNAcentral. Lineage: Bacteria; Pseudomonadati; Pseudomonadota; Betaproteobacteria.
GAGUUUGAUCGUGGCUCAGAUUGAACGCUGGCGGCGUGCUUAACACAUGCAAGUCGAGCGGCAGCGCGGGGGCAACCCUGGCGGCGAGCGGCGAACGGGUGAGUAAUGCUUCGGAAUCUUCCUCGUAGUGGGGAAUAACCUGGGGAAACUCAGGCUAAUACCGCAUACGAACUACGGUUGAAAGCAGGGGAUCGCAAGACCUUGCGCUAUGAGAUGAGCCGAAGUCGGAUUAGCUAGUUGGUGGGGUAACGGCCUACCAAGGCGACGAUCCGUAGCUAGGUCUGAGAGGACGACCAGCCACACUGGGACUGAGACACGGCCCAGACUCCUACGGGAGGCAGCAGUGGGGAAUAUUGGACAAUGGGCGCAAGCCUGAUCCAGCGACGCCGCGUGUGUGAAGAAGGCCUGCGGGUUGUAAAGCACUUUUAGUGGGGAUGAAAAGCCGAAGGCUAAUACCUUUCGGUCUUGACCUAACCCAAAGAAAAGCACCGGCUAACUCUGUGCCAGCCGCCGCCGU